AAUCAACGCUGGCGGCGUGCCUCAGACAUGCAAGUCGAACGAUUAAACUUUCCUUCGGGAAAGAUAUAAAGUGGCGCACGGGUGAGUAACACGUAGGUAAUGUACCUUUGGGUGGGGAAUAACCAUCGGAAACGAUGGCUAAUACCGCAUAAUGCAGCGGCAUCGCAAGAUGACAGUUGUUAAAGAUUUAUCGCCUAAGGAGCAGCCUGCGGCAGAUUAGGUAGNGGUAAGGUAAUGGCUUACCAAGCCUGCGAUCUGUAACCGACCUGAGAGGGUGGUCGGUCACACUGACACUGAAUAACGGGUCAGACUCCUACGGGAGGCAGCAGUCGGG
Molecule: ribosomal RNA, 334 nt
Filed under: uncultured bacterium
Lineage: Bacteria
Description: bacterial SSU rRNA
Rfam family: Bacterial small subunit ribosomal RNA
Source: RNAcentral